This 74-nucleotide transfer RNA is filed under the name Verrucomicrobia bacterium LW23. Its description in RNAcentral is "tRNA-Trp". It matches the Rfam family "tRNA". From Rfam's summary of the family: Transfer RNA (tRNA) molecules are approximately 80 nucleotides in length. Their secondary structure includes four short double-helical elements and three loops (D, anti-codon, and T loops). The record is from RNAcentral. Lineage: Bacteria; Pseudomonadati; Verrucomicrobiota.
AGCUUGCUAGCUCAACGGUAGAGCGACCGGCUCCAACCCGGAAGAUGUGGGUUCGAUUCCUACGCUUGCUGCCC